GGACUACCAGGGUUUCUAAUCCUGUUUGCUCCCCGCACUUUCGCGCCUCAGCGUCAGUCAGCGGCUGGAAGCUCGCCUUCGCCACCGGUGUUCUUCCUGAUAUCUACAGAUUUCACCCCUACACCAGGAAUUCCAGCUUCCCCUCCAUGACUCAAGCCUCACAGUUUCCAGCGCAGCCCAUGAGUUAAGCUCAUGUAUUUCACGCCGGACUUGAAAGGCCGCCUACGCGCCCUUUACGCCCAAUAAUUCCGAACAACGCUCGCCCCUUACGUGUUACCGCGGCUGCUGGCAC
Molecule: ribosomal RNA, 292 nt
Filed under: uncultured bacterium
Lineage: Bacteria
Description: partial 16S ribosomal RNA
Source: RNAcentral